CCACGAGUGGAGACGCCCUCAGUGAGCCUGCUCAGCUCCUCCUUCCCCGCCACUCACAGGAGCCAGCCUCUCCUGCCCUCCCCCGCCUCCCACAGCUCUUCCAAUCCCAGCCCACGGGGGCAUGGGGGCGCAGGGUGUGUCGGCUGGGCACAGAGGACCCGCCCCUCUGCUGUCCUGCACCCCUCAGCACCUUACCCCCAGGACUGUCCGUGGCUGGGAAGAGACGUGGAGCUGGCUCUUACCACGCUUGGGGCUGGCUUUGAGCAGGGUCUGGUGAGCGAACUUGGCACCUCGCGCUGCUUAACCCAAAGCUUGGUGCUGCCUGGCACAGCACAGACAGAGCGGGGCCCUGGCCUUGGGCACACAGCCUUCCGGAUUCCACCAGCCUGGCUUUCGCGCUGUCCAGAAGCCAAGGUGGUGUGGUCUCCGGCGGUGCUGGCAGCCAGCCUAGUGUCUGUUACCCACGGCAACCUCUGUUUGGGGCAAACUGUGUCCAGGGCCUCCAGGCUCUCGGAAGUGACUUCCCAGGCCGGAACUGCCUUUUCGUCCUCACAUCUUUCUCCCUGCUCCCAGCCCACGGUCUCCAGUGAUAAGCCGUGCCACCAGGAGAGCUGCAGACAGCCACAGAGAGCCGCAGACAGCCCUGACCAGCCCCAGCGCCUUAGAAGAGGCUCCCACACACGGCUUCUACCCAGCUCCAAGGAGCAGGCGUCAGAAGCAGCCCCAGGUGACGAAGGCCAGGCUCCGCUGGGCUGGCUCCUUCCAGAAGCUCUGAGGCGGAGCCUGUCCCUUCCUGCUGGACCUGCUUGCUCCUCCCUGGUUUCCAGAGGCCCACCCCUGGCCUCCAGCCGGCACCAGGUCAGUCUCAGUGCCCACGCGACAAUCCAGGAUCCUUACCUGGGUCCCUGGGCAGCCCCCAGUGUGUCCCAUGACACCCACUUGCAACUUCAAGGUCGGGGCACGCGGCUCGGGCUGCAGCUUCACGCAGGGGGGCGUCCUACCUCGGGGGUCCCUCGGCCUGGCUGCUCCUGCAGGCUCCGUGCUGACGCCUCUGCUCCCACGGGCGCUCACCCUGGGCCUCGUCCGCAGGGGCCGCCAGGCUGUGUCUGCAGAACAGCCCUCCCUGCCCCGUCCCCCUCUGGCCCCAGAGCCCCUGGAGGAGGGGCUCUCUGCCUCUCCCGCACUCUCUUCUCUGUCUCUCUGCCCCUCAAUAAGCACGACUCUAAAAAGCUGGAGCUGCAGCAGUGGCCCUUGUGGAGCCACCAAGACCACGCUGGCAGUGCUGGGCUUAAUCCGUGGCCUAAGUGAGGUGUGUGUGUCAGGGAAGAGAAGGCGCAGUGGACAGCUAGUGGGCAGCACUGCCGCAGGGGAGUUUCCAGAAUGAACCCCUGGGGAAGAGGGCAGCAGAGCAGAGUGUGGGAAUUCUGAGGCGGCGACCCCCGCGGCCUCCGCCUGACCCCAAGAUGGCUACUCCUCAGGGGGGCGGUGAGGACUGCUCCCCUGCCCAGCAGACGCCACUGGGGGACAGCGCAUCUGCCUUCCGUCCAGUCCUCAGGGAGAGCGGCACAAACCCUCAGUCGGUGAAAUCUGUGGCUGGGGCCUGGGGACAAGGGCAGACGCAGACGCCAUGAGGAUGCCGAGGGCCCUGGGCUGGGCAGGGCUUGGUGAGAGAGCCCCGGGCCAGCCGGCUGCAGGCCCACAGGCACCUGUUAGCCUCUCUCCUGGGCACUGACUCUCGGCCUCCGCCUCGCAGCACCUGCUCUGCUUCCUCGAGUCCGUGUGUGGGACCUGCAGGGUCUGGUCCAGAGCCCGACAACGGCCGGCAGCCCUGACAAGCGCGGAGCAAGGCUGCUCUUGCACUUGGCGGGCGCUGGCCUCAUGCCCACCUCAUGCUACCCCUUGGGUCCCCAGGCCCUGGGAGCUGUGAGAGCGUGCAGGGCCGGCCUUGGGCUGCAGCCCUCCUGGGCCCUUCUGCUCUCCUAGCCUCCACUUUCCCCUCAGCAAACAGCCGUUCUCCGUGGAAAGACUAAGCAAGGAGCCCUGGGGGCUGUCACGGCAGGAAGGGUGCACACGGCACAGCGUGUGUGAUGACAGCACUGAGACUGGUUGCGGCAGGAUUGGAAGACCUGGGCACACCUGCAGUGACGGGUGCUUUCUCCUCCGUGUCUUUCUGUGGCCUCCACAAGUCUCAGCUGGAGCAAACAUGUCAUGGGUGUGGCCCAGGACGUGCCACAGACAGGUAGGUGGCCAAAGUCGCAGCAAAGGCAGGGCUGGGGCUGGGAGGCCCCUUCUCCUCUGGUCCCCGGCU
This 2308-nucleotide long non-coding RNA is filed under the name Oryctolagus cuniculus (rabbit). RNAcentral's name for it is "lncRNA (ENSOCUG00000032088.1)". The record is from RNAcentral. Lineage: Eukaryota; Metazoa; Chordata; Mammalia; Lagomorpha; Leporidae.